CGAAAGCCUGACGGAGCAAAACCGCGUGAGGGAGGAAGGCUCUUGGGUUGUAAACCUCUUUUCUCAGGGAAGAAGCUCUGACGGUACCUGAGGAAUCAGCAUCGGCUAACUCCGUGCCAGCAGCCGCGGUAAGACGGAGGAUGCAAGCGUUAUCCGGAAUUAUUGGGCGUAAAGCGUCCGCAGGUGGUGAGUCAAGUCUGCUGUCAAAGCCAGGAGCUCAACUCCUGUCCGGCAGUGGAAACUGACCCACUCGAGGGUGGUAGGGGUAGAGGGAAUUCCCAGUGUAGCGGUGAAAUGCGUAGAGAUUGGGAAGAACACCGGUGGCGAAAGCGCUCUACUGGACCACACCUGACACUCAGAGGACGAAAGCUAGGGGAGCG
RNAcentral lists this ribosomal RNA (380 nucleotides) under uncultured cyanobacterium. Its description in RNAcentral is "bacterial SSU rRNA". It matches the Rfam family "Bacterial small subunit ribosomal RNA", at positions 376 to 770 of the family's 1533-position model. The record is from RNAcentral. Lineage: Bacteria; Bacillati; Cyanobacteriota.